GAUGAACGCUGGCGGCGUGCCUAAUACAUGCAAGUCGAGCGAACGGACGAGAAGCUUGCUUCUCUGAUGUUAGCGGCGGACGGGUGAGUAACACGUGGAUAACCUACCUAUAAGACUGGGAUAACUUCGGGAAACCGGAGCUAAUACCGGAUAAUAUUUUGAACCGCAUGGUUCAAAAGUGAAAGACGGUCUUGCUGUCACUUAUAGAUGGAUCCGCGCUGCAUUAGCUAGUUGGUAAGGUAACGGCUUACCAAGGCAACGAUGCAUAGCCGACCUGAGAGGGUGAUCGGCCACACUGGAAGUGGAACACGGUCCAGGCUCCUACGGGAGGCAGCAGUAGGGAAUCUUCCGCAGUAGGCGAGAGCCUGACGGAGCAACGCCACGUGAGUGAUAAAGGUCUUCGGAUCGUAAAACUCUGUUAUUAGGGAAAAACAUAUGUGUAAGUAACUGUGCACAUCGUGACGGUACCUAAUCAGAAAGCCACGGCUAACUACGUG
Molecule: ribosomal RNA, 497 nt
Filed under: uncultured bacterium
Lineage: Bacteria
Description: partial 16S ribosomal RNA
Rfam family: Bacterial small subunit ribosomal RNA
Source: RNAcentral